This 292-nucleotide ribosomal RNA is filed under the name uncultured bacterium. RNAcentral describes it as "partial 16S ribosomal RNA". The record is from RNAcentral.
GGACUACCGGGGUAUCUAAUCCUGUUUGCUCCCCACGCUUUCGCACCUCAGCGUCCAGUAUGAGCCAGUGAGCCGCCUUCGCCACUGGUGUUCUUCCGAAUAUCUACGAAUUUCACCUCUACACUCGGAAUUCCACUCACCUCUCUCACCUGCUAGCUCGGCAGUCUUAAAGGCAAUUCUGGAGUUGAGCUCCAGGCUUUCACCUCUAACUUACCAAGCCGCCUACGUGCGCUUUACGCCCAGUAAUUCCGAACAACGCUAGCCCCCUCCGUAUUACCGCGGCUGCUGGCAC